UCCAUGCAGCCGUGAUGAUUUCAUAGUUCAACUGACAGCUUUGAUGUCUUACUAUUUAUGUCUUUCGCUCCUAUCUGAUGCAUGUA
This is a small nucleolar RNA of Frankliniella occidentalis (western flower thrips), 86 nucleotides long. RefSeq annotates it as small nucleolar RNA snR60/Z15/Z230/Z193/J17. The record is from RefSeq and is a predicted model, not a curated record. The transcript has a single exon. Lineage: Eukaryota; Metazoa; Arthropoda; Insecta; Thysanoptera; Thripidae.